RNAcentral lists this ribosomal RNA (497 nucleotides) under uncultured bacterium. RNAcentral describes it as "partial 16S ribosomal RNA". It matches the Rfam family "Bacterial small subunit ribosomal RNA", at positions 28 to 507 of the family's 1533-position model. The record is from RNAcentral.
GAUGAACGCUGGCGGCGUGCCUAAUACAUGCAAGUCGAGCGAACAGACGAGGAGCUUGCUCCUCUGACGUUAGCGGCGGACGGGUGAGUAACACGUGGAUAACCUACCUAUAAGACUGGGAUAACUUCGGAAAACCGGAGCUAAUACCGGAUAAUAUAUUGAACCGCAUGGUUCAAUAGUGAAAGACGGUUUUGCUGUCACUUAUAGAUGGAUCCGCGCCGCAUUAGCUAGUUGGUAAGGUAACGGCUUACCAAGGCAACGAUGCGUAGCCGACCUGAGAGGGUGAUCGGCCACACUGGAACUGAGACACGGUCCAGACUCCUACGGGAGGCAGCAGUAGGGAAUCUUCCGCAAUGGGCGAAAGCUUGACGGAGCAACGCCGCGUGAGUGAUGAAGGUCUUCGGAUCGUAUAACUCUGUUAUUAGGGAAGAACAAAUGUGUAAGUAACUAUGCACGUCUUGACGGUACCUAAUCAGAAAGCCACGGCUAACUACGUG